AGUGAGAACUUGUCUCAAAAAAAGAAAAGAAAAUGUAUCCAGGAGGUAGGACCAAAAAACAUUUAAACUCUUUGUGUCCAGGAAUAGAGCAGAGACCUUGAAAAGGCAGAAUUAAGUAUAAUUGCUGUGGUCUGAAUGUUUGUGUCCCCCGCUAAUUCGUAUGUUGAAAUUCUAACCCCCAAGGUGAGGAUGGUAUUUAGAAAGCAGGCCUUUGGAGGCCUAGGGCAUGAGGGCAGAGUCCUAUGAAUCAACUAAGUGCCCUUUUAAAAGGGCCUCUGCCCCUUCCACCAAGUGAGGACACAGCAAGAAGUCAUGCUCUAUGAGAAAGCUGGCUCUCACCAGACACCAGAUCUGCUGGCACCUUGAUCUUGGACUUCUCAGACUUCAAAACUGUGAGAAAUAAGUUUCUGUUGUGUAUUAGCUACCCAGUUUACGGUAUUUUGUUGCAACAGCAUGAACAACCUAGGACAAUAAUUUUAAUGUGUAAAAUUAAAUUUAAAUGUUAAAUUAAGUUUAGCCUAAAGCUACUUCCUUACAUAUUUUAAGUUCAGCCUAAAGGUUUCUCCAUACAUAGUGAACUGUAACCUAACUGAAUGUGCAAACAGACUAUGACCUGCUCUUGUGACAAGCAGCUGAGGCUCAGCCAAUCACAGCAGCUGAGUUUCAGCCAAUCACAGGUGGCCAACUGUUUGUAUAAGGCAAACACCCAGCUGUCACCAAUCCAGCUGUUUCUGUACCUCACUUCUGUCUUUAGUCCGUCACUUUCCUUUCUCCAUAAAUGUUAUUCAACCACGUAGUAGCCCCGGGUUUGCUCUGAACCUGUUCUGGUUCUGGGGGCAGCCCAACUAUUGUAUCAUUCUCUGCUCAAACACUGUUAAAUUUAAUUUGUCUAAAGUGUUUCUUUUAACAAAGAGAAGGUGUAUUAGAUUUCCACCUAAUUUGAAAAUUUCAAAGCCAUAAUGGAGAAGCGCAGGCACUACUGGUCAUUUUUGUCCAGUAGAUGGAGCCCUAGUAGAAAGGAAACAGUCUGGCAAGUAUCAAAAUUUCUCAGAGGAAGAUUUGAACGGGGAAUUCACUGUGGAUUCCACACCCUAAGAGUCCAUUAGGCAGCCUGCCAGAGUUCUCCCCAGCCAGUCUGAGUGAGAACUCCCAGCGGAAGGACCCUGAAAUGAACUAAUAAAGUAACCAGCAGGACAAAGCAAUGUGCCAUGGAAAGAACAACAGAUUUGAUUUUAAUCCGAAUGCCAAGAGUUUGUUUUUGCAAACAUACAAAACUUUAGGAAUUAAGGUGGGUUGGAGGUGGAUUUGUGAUACUCAUUGGAUUAGAAAUAAAAGGUUAACAAGUAUAUUAAAAUUAAAGCCAUAAGGCUGUGAUUUUAUGGUGUGUAUGUAUUUGAGGGAAAGAGGAAAAAAUACAUUUAAAAGGCUUGUAAUUCCCUAAAUACCCAUGACUUAUUAAUUAUACAUGGAGUAAUUAAUAAUACAUAGAGUAAUUAUUACAAUAAUACAUGGAGUAAUUAAAAUUUCUGCAACAUUUGAUUAUCAAGAUGUGAUAUAAUUUAUUGAAUUGGAUUAUAGUUUGUGGAUGUGCUUAGCGCUCUACUACUUUUUAAAAUGCUCUCCCACACAUCAUCAUCAGAGCACAUCUCAGAGAUGGAAAUUUGUGAUUUGCCCAAGGUUAGUGGGGCAACUGAUAAAAAAAGGAUCCUGUCUUACAUACUCCCACCCUUUGUUGUAAGCUCCUGUUGGAUGCCAAGAAUCACCUGCUGCCUUAGUUCUUUGAACAGGUUUUAUGUGUUUGAUGGAAAAAGGGCACUUUUCAAGAGAGAGAAUAGCUGAGCUUUGAAGAAUGGAAUGACCAGGAUCUGAGUAGAGAGAGUGGCAGGAAGGGGAGCUGGGGCUAGGCAAGCUUGGGUUCACAGAGCUGCCCCUCUCUUAUCUACCUGGUGGAGGGGGAGUAGAGAUCAUGAUACUCCAACCCCUCUCUUCAUGAACCUGGAGUAGGGAGAGUAGAAGAGAGAGGGAACAGGGGAAUCUCAUAAGAUUGCUUGGUAGCAUAACGACCUCGGCGAAUUUAAAGUGGAACUGAGGUCCUUAGUCUUAGUCCAUUUGUGCUGCUAUAACAAAGUAUCUUACACUGGGUAAUUUAUAAACAACAGAAAUGUAUUGCUCACAGUUCUGGAGGCUGGGAAGUCCAAGAUAAAGUGCCAGCAGGUUCAAUGUCUGGUAAGGGCUCAUUGCACAGAGAUGGUACCUCUUGCUGCAUUCUCACAUGGUAGAAGGGAGCAAACAGCCUCCUUUUAAUCUCCUUUACAUUAUCCCAUUUAUGAAGGCAGUCUUCAUGACUUAAUCACUUCCCCCAAAGUCUCCACCUCCAUGCUAUGACAUUGAGGAUUAAGUUUCAGCCUAUGAUUUUGGAAAGCAUACCAACAUUCAGACCAUAGAACCAGCCAAUGAGAUUGUGGGCUAUUCUUCCACCAUACUCAAUGGGCAAAGACAUGGAGUAGGGCAGAGAGCUGGAUUUAACCAGGGUUGGAGUUUGGCCAAGUGAGUUUAAAGUACAAUUAAAAGGACAAGGGAGUUUGGGAUCUAUUCAAGAGGGUGACUAUGAUGGACCAUCCAAUUUCAGUUGGAUAAGGAAGUUGAGGACAGCAAGUCACAGUCACAGUCUGAGCCAAUUCUCAGUGGCCAGGGCUAUAGAAGGACACAGGCCAUAAGAAGAUAAGGAGGAACCUUGCACUGCUGGCCUCUGACAGUGAGUAGAACCCAAUCUCUCUCUAAGCCAGUGACCCAAUUUCCUCUGUCUUAAACAGCUCAUAGUACAGCUGGCUCUUUCUCAUUCUUCAGGCUGCUGUGAAAUCUUCCCUGACUUCCCCAGCAUAGGACACAGAUCCUCCCUGCUGUUCUUAAUAACACACUUUUUUUUUUAUUUCUUUCAGGGCUUCUCACCAUCUGGUUAUUUUAUUGAUUUGUUUACAUGUUUAUUGUCUGUUUUUCCCACCAGAAUGCAAGCUCCACAAGGCCAGGAAUCUUUCCUGUCCAAUUCACCACAGCAGCCUCAACCUGGCAGACAGUUCAGCAUACAGCUAAAUAAUGGCUCCCAAAGAUGUGUCUACAUCCUAAUCUCCAGAAUCUGUGAAUGUUACUUUAUGUGGCAAGAGAGAGGCUGAAGGAGAUUUGGUACCAACAGAAGAGGAGGAGGAAAUUGUGAUCAUGCAGAAACUGGAGUGAUGGAGUCACAAGCCAAGGAAUGCCAGCAGCCACCAGAAGCCGAAAGAGGCCCUGCCAACACCUUGAUUUAGGCCUAAUGAAACUGAGUUUAGAUUUCUGGACCCCAGAACUGUGAAAGAAUAAAUUUCUGUUGUGUUAAGCCCCUAAUUUUGUGGUAAUGUGUCACAGCAGCCCUUGGAACCUAAUACACUCCCCAAGCCAUCACAAUGACGGUUAAGGGAAGUAAAACGAUAAAAUUCAUAAAGAUAAAGAGAAUAACAGAAAAGGAUUUCAAUAAGUGUUUGGAAGAUGGAAAAGGAAAGAAUGAGAAGCAACUUACUUAUCAGAGUAGAGAAAAUUACCUGAGAGCCUGGAGAAAGGGAAGUGAAUAAGACAGAGUCAGUUCUCCCCAGAGAAGCCAGACACAGGGUCAUUGAGCACCAAGCAGGGGCAGGAGUGGGGUGCAGGGCUGGCACUGGGGAUAGAGUGGAAACAUUAACAUGGACCUUGGAUCCCUGGGCCCUGACUCCUCUGACACUGGUCUUCCUGAACUAGCUGCAUCCCUUCUUGUCAUGCCCUCCACUCCAGUCCCUGCCCUUGACCCCACCACCACCACCUCAGCUGACACACAUCAGUUCAGCUCACACUCCUUCUGUUAGAAAGAACCAGUCACAAGGUUCUUCCUGAAUGCAAUGGGGCUGGGAAAUGCUGAGCAGUGCCAGGCACAGGCUUCCUCUAAACCACUCUGCACCAAGGAAGAAGGACAUUUUUUUGAUGGUCUAAUACCCGUCUCUGCCACACUCUCUAAGGCAAUUAAUUUUAAAAUUUUAGAAUACUGGAAAUAAAGAAAAGAUACUAAAAACUUCCAGAAUGAAAAACCAGGUCACAUAUUGCCUUAUGGAUCAGCAAUCUGACUGGCAUCAGCCUUUUCAAUAGCAAUACAAAAUGCCAGAAGACAACAGGGCAAUGCCCUCAAAAUUCUGAGAGAAAAUAUCUUGCUAAUAAAACAUCUAUUACACCUAGCAAGCAGCCAUCCCAAAGGCAGAAGGCUGUGAAAGAACAAAAGGGAGCUAUCUAGGGAGAAAAACAUAACUGUUAAUUAUUAUUAUAAUAAUAAUAUAUUUUUAGAGACAAGGUCUCUGUCAACCCAUGCUGAGGUG
Molecule: long non-coding RNA, 4370 nt
Filed under: Homo sapiens (human)
Lineage: Eukaryota; Metazoa; Chordata; Mammalia; Primates; Hominidae
Description: HSALNT0364822
Source: RNAcentral